Molecule: ribosomal RNA, 506 nt
Filed under: uncultured bacterium
Lineage: Bacteria
Description: partial 16S ribosomal RNA
Rfam family: Bacterial small subunit ribosomal RNA
Source: RNAcentral
AUUGAACGCUGGCGGCAGGCCUAACACAUGCAAGUCGAACGGUAACAGGAAGCAGCUUGCUGUUUCGCUGACGAGUGGCGGACGGGUGAGUAAUGUCUGGGAAACUGCCUGAUGGAGGGGGAUAACUACUGGAAACGGUAGCUAAUACCGCAUAACGUCGCAAGACCAAAGAGGGGGACCUUCGGGCCUCUUGCCAUCGGAUGUGCCCAGAUGGGAUUAGCUUGUUGGUGGGGUAACGGCUCACCAAGGCGACGAUCCCUAGCUGGUCUGAGAGGAUGACCAGCCACACUGGAACUGAGACACGGUCCAGACUCCUACGGGAGGCAGCAGUGGGGAAUAUUGCACAAUGGGCGCAAGCCUGAUGCAGCCAUGCCGCGUGUAUGAAGAAGGCCUUCGGGUUGUAAAGUACUUUCAGCGGGGAGGAAGGGAGUAAAGUUAAUACCUUUACUCAUUGACGUUACCCGCAGAAGAAGCACCGGCUAACUCCGUGCCAGCAGCCGCCGUAA